RNAcentral lists this long non-coding RNA (321 nucleotides) under Brassica napus (rape). RNAcentral's name for it is "long non-coding RNA (BNAP_LNC006208)". Lineage: Eukaryota; Viridiplantae; Streptophyta; Magnoliopsida; Brassicales; Brassicaceae. The record is from RNAcentral.
GUAUCAUUGGUUGGCCGAUCAUGUUUUUGUUUGAUUGUUGGUCGACCGGCUCAUGAUACUUGUAUAGUCUAAGUGUCUAACACUACAUGAGUACUGAACUCAAGCGUAUAUAUGGUUAACCAGGGAUUGGUUGUUGACUUGUUUAAAUGCAGGUUCCCGUUACUUGAAGCUAGAUCAUGGCAUGAGGCCAAGACUAACUUAGUAACGGUUUGCUUAGCCUUAGCUUUUAUUGCAUGCUAGGGCUAGAUUGAUUGUUAUUUUGGGUUGUCUGAGUUAGAGUCUAGGUUGCGGGUAGAGGCCACCAGCUCACUGAGUAAUACU